GAUGAAUGCUGGCGGCGUGCCUAAUACAUGCAGGUCGAGCGAACAGACGAGGAGCUUGCUCCUCUGAUGUUAGCGGCGGACGGGUGAGUAACACGUGGAUAACCUACCUAUAAGACUGGGAUAACUUCGGGAAACCGGAGCUAAUACCGGAUAACAUGUUGAACCGCAUGGUUCAACAGUGAAAGACGGUCUUGCUGUCACUUAUAGAUGGAUCCGCGCCGCAUUAGCUAGUUGGUAAGGUAACGGCUUACCAAGGCAACGAUGCGUAGCCGACCUGAGAGGGUGAUCGGCCACACUGGAACUGAGACACGGUCCAGACUCCUACGGGAGGCAGCAGUAGGGAAUCUUCCGCAAUGGGCGAAAGCCUGACGGAGCAACGCCGCGUGAGUGAAGAAGGUCUUCGGAUCGUAAAACUCUGUUAUUAGGGAAGAACAAAUGUGUAAGUAACUAUGCACGUCUUGACGGUACCUAAUCAGAAAGCCACGGCUAACUACGUG
Molecule: ribosomal RNA, 497 nt
Filed under: uncultured bacterium
Lineage: Bacteria
Description: partial 16S ribosomal RNA
Rfam family: Bacterial small subunit ribosomal RNA
Source: RNAcentral